RNAcentral lists this ribosomal RNA (460 nucleotides) under Borinquenotrema soredicarpum. Its description in RNAcentral is "eukaryotic LSU rRNA". It matches the Rfam family "Eukaryotic large subunit ribosomal RNA", at positions 633 to 1099 of the family's 3401-position model. Lineage: Eukaryota; Fungi; Ascomycota; Lecanoromycetes; Ostropales; Graphidaceae. The record is from RNAcentral.
AANGGUUGCCAGCGACCCGUCUUGAAACACGGACCAAGGAGUGGACCUACCGCGCGAGUGUUUGGGCGUCAACCCCAUACGCGCAAUGAAAGUGAACGCAGGUGGGAACCUUCGGCGCACCAUCGACCGAUCCUGAUGUCUUCGGAUGGAUUUGAGUAAGAGCACGGCGGGUUCGACCCGAAAGACGGUGAACUAUACGUGAAUAGGGUGAAGCCAGAGGAAACUCUGGUGGAGGCUCGCAGCGGUUCUGACGUGCAAAUCGAUCGUCAAAUUUGCGUAUAGGGGCGAAAGACUAAUCGAACCGUCUAGUAGCUGGUUCCUGUCGAAGUUUCCCUCAGGAUAGCAGCAACGAAUCAGCAGUCUCAUGAGGUAGAGCAACGAUUAGAGGCAUGGGGGUUGAAACAACCUUCACCUAUUCUCGAACUCCGAAUAUGUGAGAAGUCCUUGUUACUUGAUNGAA